GCUGGGCAUGGUGGUGCAUGCCUGUGGUCCCAGCUACUCAGGAGGCUGAGGUGGGAGGAUCACUUGAGCCCAGGAGGUUGAGGCUGCAGUGAGCUAUGAUCAUGCCACUGCAUUCUAGCCUGGGCAACUGAGUGAGACCCUGUCGCUG
Molecule: non-coding RNA, 148 nt
Filed under: Pan paniscus (pygmy chimpanzee)
Lineage: Eukaryota; Metazoa; Chordata; Mammalia; Primates; Hominidae
Also listed under: 1 other name
Source: Rfam by way of RNAcentral